Molecule: ribosomal RNA, 253 nt
Filed under: uncultured bacterium
Lineage: Bacteria
Description: partial 16S ribosomal RNA
Rfam family: Bacterial small subunit ribosomal RNA
Source: RNAcentral
UACGGAGGGUGCAAGCGUUAUCCGGAUUCACUGGGUUUAAAGGGUGCGUAGGUGGGUUGGUAAGUCAGUGGUGAAAUCUCCGAGCUUAACUUGGAAACUGCCAUUGAUACUAUCAGUCUUGAAUAUUGUGGAGGUCAGCGGAAUAUGUCAUGUAGCGGUGAAAUGCUUAGAUAUGACAUAGAACACCAAUUGCGAAGGCAGCUGGCUACACAUAUAUUGACACUGAGGCACGAAAGCGUGGGGAGCAAAAGGG